RNAcentral lists this ribosomal RNA (460 nucleotides) under uncultured bacterium. Its description in RNAcentral is "partial 16S ribosomal RNA". It matches the Rfam family "Bacterial small subunit ribosomal RNA", at positions 338 to 795 of the family's 1533-position model. The record is from RNAcentral.
CCUACGGGUGGCAGCAGUGAGGAAUAUUGGUCAAUGGACGAGAGUCUGAACCAGCCAAGUAGCGUGAAGGAUGACUGCCCUAUGGGUUGUAAACUUCUUUUAUAUGGGAAUAAAAUGUUCCACGUGUGGGAUUUUGUAUGUACCAUAUGAAUAAGGAUCGGCUAACUCCGUGCCCGCAGCCGCGGUAAUACGGAGGAUCCGAGCGUUAUCCGGAUUUAUUGGGUUUAAAGGGAGCGUAGGUGGGUUGUUAAGUCAGUUGUGAAAGUUUGCGGCUCAACCGUAAAAUUGCAGUUGAAACUGGCAGUCUUGAGUACAGUAGAGGUGAGCGGAAUGCGUGGUGUAGCGGUGAAAUGCUUAGAUAUCACGAAGAACUCCGAUGGCGAAGGCAGCUUACUGGACUGUAACUGACACUGAGGCUCGAAAGUGUGGGUAUCAAACAGGAUUAGAUACCCUAGUAGUC